UUAAUUUUAUUGCUUAUUCUUUUCAAAGGGAUGUAAAUUUAGAUUUAUAAUAUUUUGAAAAAGGACCUGAAAAUGUGUUGGAAUAAUUGUAAAUCUGAUGAUUGCAUACAUGUAUAUAUAUAUAUACAUCUGUGUGUAUGUAUUUAUAUU
This is a long non-coding RNA of Octopus sinensis (East Asian common octopus), 150 nucleotides long. RefSeq lists it as uncharacterized. NCBI's taxonomy places the organism in Eukaryota, Metazoa, Mollusca, Cephalopoda, Octopoda, Octopodidae. The transcript is spliced from 3 exons. The record is from RefSeq and is a predicted model, not a curated record.